Molecule: non-coding RNA, 91 nt
Organism: Caenorhabditis elegans
Lineage: Eukaryota; Metazoa; Nematoda; Chromadorea; Rhabditida; Rhabditidae
Source: Ensembl
UUUUCAAUAUCUCAUUUGUCAUAUUCAUGUGCACAAUGCGCGCGGCGCGUAAUGCGAAACAUGGGCUUACCGCCGGAUUACUACCAUCUUG